RNAcentral lists this ribosomal RNA (440 nucleotides) under uncultured bacterium. Its description in RNAcentral is "partial 16S ribosomal RNA". It matches the Rfam family "Bacterial small subunit ribosomal RNA", at positions 338 to 795 of the family's 1533-position model. The record is from RNAcentral.
CCUACGGGAGGCAGCAGUGGGGGAUAUUGCACAAUGGGGGGAACCCUGAUGCAGCGACGCCGCGUGGGUGAAGAAGCGCCUCGGCGCGUAAAGCCCUUUCAGCAGGGAAGAAAAUGACGGUACCUGAAGAAGAAGCCCCGGCUCACUACGUGCCAGCAGCCGCGGUAAUACGUAGGGGGCAAGCGUUAUCCGGAUUUACUGGGUGUAAAGGGGGCGCAGACGGCGAUGCAAGCCAGGAGUGAAAGCCCGGGGCCCAACCCCGGGACUGCUCUUGGAACUGGGUGGCUGGAGGGCAGGAGGGGCAGGCGGAAUGCCUGGUGUAGCGGUGAAAUGCGUAGAUAUCAGGAGGAACACCAGUGGCGAAGGCGGCCUGCUGGACUGCAACUGACGUUGAGGCCCGAAAGCGUGGGGAGCAAACAGGAUUAGAUACCCUUGUAGUC